Molecule: ribosomal RNA, 403 nt
Filed under: uncultured bacterium
Lineage: Bacteria
Description: partial 16S ribosomal RNA
Rfam family: Bacterial small subunit ribosomal RNA
Source: RNAcentral
AUUGAACGCUAGCGGGAUGCUUUACACAUGCAAGUCGAGCGAGCGGCGGACGGGUGAGUAAUGUAUGGGGACUGCCCGAUAGAGGGGGAUAACUACUGGAAACGGUAGCUACUACCGCAUACUAUCGGAUAACCCAUAUGGGAUUAGCUAGUAGGUGAGGUAAUGGUGCACCUUGGCGACGAUCCCUAGCUGGUCUGAGAGGAUGAUCACCAACACUGGGACUGAGACACGGCCCAGACUCCUACGGAGGCAGCAGUGGGGAAUAUUGCCCAAUGGGCGCAAGCCUGAUGCAGCCAUGCCGCGUGUAUGAAGAAGGCCCUAGGGUUGUAAAGUACUUUCAGUCGGGAGGCGUUACCGACAGAAGAAGCACCGGCUAACUCCGUGCCAGCAGCCGCGGUAAUAC